Molecule: unclassified non-coding RNA, 265 nt
Filed under: fungal sp.
Lineage: Eukaryota; Fungi
Description: partial internal transcribed spacer region
Rfam family: Eukaryotic small subunit ribosomal RNA (bases 1-46)
Source: RNAcentral
AAGUCGUAACAAGGUUUCCGUAGGUGAACCUGCGGAAGGAUCAUUAGCGAAGCGAACGCCCUCAUGGGGUUGUGCUGGCGCUCCCCGCGCAUGUGCACGCCUUGUAGGGUUGUCCAUCCUUCUCACACCUGUGCACACGUCCAGUCGGACCCGACGCCUUGUGCGUCGACCGGCUGCCUUUCACAACAGCCAUGUCAGAGUGUCGAAAGCUUUAUGCGCUUGCGCAACCGAAAAACAACUUUUAACAACGGAUCUCUUGGUUCUC